This 253-nucleotide ribosomal RNA is filed under the name uncultured bacterium. Its description in RNAcentral is "partial 16S ribosomal RNA". It matches the Rfam family "Bacterial small subunit ribosomal RNA", at positions 524 to 776 of the family's 1533-position model. The record is from RNAcentral.
UACGUAGGGGGCAAGCGUUAUCCGGAUUCACUGGGCGUAAAGGGAGCGCAGGCGGCAUGGUAAGUCUGAUGUGAAAACCCGGGGCCCAACCCCGGGAGUGCAUUGGAAACUGCCAGGCUGGAGUGUCGGAGGGGUAAGCGGAAUUCCUAGUGUAGCGGUGAAAUGCGUAGAUAUUAGGAGGAACACCAGUGGCGAAGGCGGCUUACUGGACGACUACUGACGCUGAGGCCCGAAAGCGUGGGGAGCAAACAGG